AUGAAUUAUGUUAAGAUGAAAAGUUUGGGUGACAUUGCAUUGUUUUAUGUUUCUCGUAAAAACUGUCGGGCAUUGAGCAAUCCUCAGAGAUUUGGGUAUCGGAGCAAUUACGUGUAUGAAGUAAAUUCUUUUUCCAAAUGUGGUAUGUAUGAUUGGAACGAUCAUAGAUUAAGUUAUUAUAAGCGUUCUGCUGGAGACUUCAAUUUUGAUUGGUGUUUUAGACAUUUUGUAUGUCAAGGUUCUGUUAGAAGCGACUUCAAUUUAUUUGAUUGGUGUUUUACACAUUUAAAAUAUCAAGUUGAUUAUUCUUUAGUUGAAUAA
This is a non-coding RNA of Vicia faba (fava bean), 321 nucleotides long. The record is from the annotation of a GenBank genome assembly. Lineage: Eukaryota; Viridiplantae; Streptophyta; Magnoliopsida; Fabales; Fabaceae.